CUACGGGUCGCAGCAGUGAGGAAUAUUGGUCAAUGGACGCAAGUCUGAACCAGCCAUGCCGCGUGCAGGAUGACGGCCCUAUGGGUUGUAAACUGCUUUUAUUAAGGAAUAAACCCCCUUACGUGUAAGGGGCUGAACGUACUUAAAGAAUAAGCAUCGGCUAACUCCGUGCCAGCAGCCGCGGUAAUACGGAGGAUGCAAGCGUUAUCCGGAUUUAUUGGGUUUAAAGGGUUCGCAGGCGGCGUAUUAAGUCAGUGGUGAAAUCCCUCGGCUCAACCGAGGAACUGCCAUUGAUACUGGUAUGCUAGAGUAUAGUUGGCGUAGGCGGAAUAUUUCAUGUAGCGGUGAAAUGCUUAGAUAUGAAAUAGAACACCGAUCGCGAAGGCAGCUUACGAAACUAUAACUGACGCUCAGGAACGAAAGCGUGGGGAGCGAACAGGAUUAGAUACCCCAGUAGUC
RNAcentral lists this ribosomal RNA (459 nucleotides) under uncultured bacterium. Its description in RNAcentral is "partial 16S ribosomal RNA". It matches the Rfam family "Bacterial small subunit ribosomal RNA", at positions 339 to 795 of the family's 1533-position model. The record is from RNAcentral.